ACGCUCGACACCUACGGGGCAGCAGUGGGGAAUAUUGCACAAUGGGGGAAACCCUGAUGCAGCGACGCCGCGUGAAGGAAGAAGUAUCUCGGUAUGUAAACUUCUAUCAGCAGGGAAGAAAAUGACGGUACCUGACUAAGAAGCCCCGGCUAACUACGUGCCAGCAGCAGCGGUAAUCUGAGCGGGCUGGCAAGGC
Molecule: ribosomal RNA, 196 nt
Filed under: uncultured bacterium
Lineage: Bacteria
Description: partial 16S ribosomal RNA
Rfam family: Bacterial small subunit ribosomal RNA
Source: RNAcentral